UCAAGAAACUUCCACAAUGGGCGAAAGCCUGAUGGAGCGACGUCGCGUGAUGGACGAAGUGCUUCGGCAUGUAAACAUCUUUUAUGUGGGAUGAAAUUAUUGACAGUACCACAUGAAUAAGGGGCUCCUAACUCUGUGCCAGCAGGAGCGGUAAUACAGAGGCCCCAAGCGUUAUCCGGAAUCACUGGGCGUAAAGGGUGUCGAGGCGGUUGUAUUAGUCGUUCGUAAAAUCUACGAGCUUAACUUGUAGGCGGCGAACGAAACGGUACGACUUGAGGUUUGGAGAGGUGCGUGGAACUCACGGUGUAGGGGUGAAAUCCGUUGAUAUCGUGGGGAACACCAAAGGCGAAGGCAGCGCACUGGCCAAAAUCUGACGCUCACACACGAAAGCUAGGGUAGCGAAGAGGAUUAGAUACCCCCGUAGUCCCUG
Molecule: ribosomal RNA, 430 nt
Filed under: uncultured bacterium
Lineage: Bacteria
Description: bacterial SSU rRNA
Rfam family: Bacterial small subunit ribosomal RNA
Source: RNAcentral